This 428-nucleotide ribosomal RNA is filed under the name uncultured bacterium. RNAcentral describes it as "partial 16S ribosomal RNA". It matches the Rfam family "Bacterial small subunit ribosomal RNA", at positions 354 to 796 of the family's 1533-position model. The record is from RNAcentral.
GUGGGGAAUCUUCCGCAAUGGACGAAAGUCUGACGGAGCAACGCCGCGUGAGUGAUGAAGGUUUUCGGAUUGUAAACCUCUGUCCUUGGUGACGAAGGAAGUGACGGUAACCAAGGAGGAAGCCCCGGCUAACUACGUGCCAGCAGCCGCGGUAAUACGUAGGGGGCAAGCGUUGUCCGGAAUGACUGGGCGUAAAGGGCGUGUAGGCGGCCGAUUAAGUCUGGAGUGAAAGUCCUGCUUUCAAGGUGGGAAUUGCUUUGGAGACUGGUUGGCUUGAGUGCGGAAGAGGUAAGUGGAAUUCCCAGUGUAGCGGUGAAAUGCGUAGAGAUUGGGAGGAACACCAGUGGCGAAGGCGACUUACUGGGCCGUAACUGACGCUGAGGCGCGAAAGCGUGGGGAGCGAACAGGAUUAGAUACCCUAGUAGUCC